AUACGAAGGGGGCUAGCGUUGUUCGGAAUUACUGGGCGUAAAGCGCGCGUAGGCGGACUGAUCAGUUGGGGGUGAAAUCCCAGGGCUUAACCCUGGAACUGCCUCCAAUACUGUCAGUCUUGAGUUCGGGAGAGGUGAGUGGAAUUCCUAGUGUAGAGGUGAAAUUCGUAGAUAUUAGGAAGAACGCCAGUGGCGAAGGCGGCUCACUGGCCCGAUACUGACGCUGAGGCGCGAAAGCGUGGGGAGCAAACAGGAUUAGAAACCCUAGUAGUCC
This 274-nucleotide ribosomal RNA is filed under the name uncultured bacterium. RNAcentral's name for it is "partial 16S ribosomal RNA". It matches the Rfam family "Bacterial small subunit ribosomal RNA", at positions 523 to 796 of the family's 1533-position model. The record is from RNAcentral.